CACGUAGUUGGCCGGUGCUUCUUCUGUACCUACCGUCACGUUAGCUUCGUCGGUACUGAAAGAGGUUUACAACCCGAAGGCCGUCAUCCCCCACGCGGCGUUGCUGGAUCAGGCUUCCGCCCAUUGUCCAAUAUUCCCCA
This 140-nucleotide ribosomal RNA is filed under the name uncultured bacterium. RNAcentral describes it as "partial 16S ribosomal RNA". The record is from RNAcentral.